RNAcentral lists this long non-coding RNA (1219 nucleotides) under Sus scrofa (pig). RNAcentral describes it as "lncRNA (ENSSSCG00030039748.1, ENSSSCG00060039485.1)". Lineage: Eukaryota; Metazoa; Chordata; Mammalia; Artiodactyla; Suidae. The record is from RNAcentral.
AUGACCACCGAGGCCGCUACCUCGGCCCAGCCCGGCCAGGCAGACGCACCUCUGGAGACACAAAACUCUUGUUUUCCAGAUGUGACAGCUGAGCGAGUGAGUUCCUCGGAACCCAGGGGCCUACCAAAUAGAAAAGAAGACAUAACACACUUCCCUGUUGCUUCGACAUCAGUGAGGAACCUCGCCAUGGCUCGAGAGAUCGUAAGUCUUGGUCUUUGACCUUCAUCUUUGAAUGGCUUGGAACUCAAUUUUGUGUCACCUGGAAAGCUGAGGGAUUCAAGUUUGGAGAUGAGGGUUGGAGGGGUGAGUCCACUCCUAUGACUCAGUUCCUAAAAGCCUAAAUAAUGAAUUGUUUUACACUGAAAAAUCUAAUUUUCAAGCUGACCACAGCACUGGUGCCAAUCGACUCAUUGAAUGUUCUUCCCAUGUGGACUAGAUGAACAAAAGAAACUAAAAAGUUCACGUUGAUGAGCCUAGGGAGUUGUGCCAUCCCAUGUCUGGUGUGCAGAGACAUUUGAGAAGCAUUGGUGUGACAAGUCUUUCCUAAACUUUGUAAUAACCUCCCAAAUAAUUUGUAGGUCUCUGAUCCUUCCUUCGCACUUCCACCAGCAUCAUGAAACAAGUGUGUUUGAAGUAAGUCUGACUACAUCUUUCUGCUGAUCUCAGCAAUUCCCUCUCAAGAUAAAGUGCAAAUUCGGAUGCAUAGGAUAUAAGGUCUUCUAUAGUCUUGUUGCUGCGUACGUUCCAAGUACAUCCCCCACCUUCACAUCCUUUAUGUUCUAGUCCAACUAAACUCAUCAUGAUUUUAGUAAACUUGUACCCAGUUUCAGGGCUUUAAAUACCAACUUUUAUACUGCAGACUCCCAAAUUUCCAUAUGUAGUCUAGACCUUAGCUCUGGAUUCAUUAUUUCUCUAUAGUUCUAUUUGUAUGUAUCCAGACAUCUCAGAUUUAACAUGUCUAACACUGAACCGUGACAGCCACCUCUCUGCAAAAACAAAAAAUACCCCCCCCAAAAAAACCCUUUGCUCCUCAGUGAUCUUCAAAAUCUUGGUAAAUGGCACUAGCUUCUAGCUAUCAAGGCCGAACCCAUACGGUGGUUUUUCUUAUGCCAUAUCCAAUCCGUGUGGAGAUACUGAAGGUCUUACCUUCAUAAUAUACCCUAAAUUUUACCACUUCUGUUACUGAACCAAACUUGAGUCCACUCACCCACGCAGUCAA